CUGCAGCCAAUUAAGUCAGCGGGGCUCCUUUCCUUGUGGGGCACAGGGUGCAAUGGCUGCAAAUAGCAGCCUCCUUGGUAACACAUGCAGCCAUUGCUUGGAUGGCUAGCCUGAGGGACCUUGGAGAUGGAC
Molecule: small nucleolar RNA, 132 nt
Organism: Sciurus vulgaris (Eurasian red squirrel)
Lineage: Eukaryota; Metazoa; Chordata; Mammalia; Rodentia; Sciuridae
Gene: SNORA70
Rfam family: Small nucleolar RNA SNORA70
About the family: snoRNA U70 seems to be exclusive to mammals and is a member of the H/ACA class of snoRNA which contain H (ANANNA) and ACA box motifs.
Source: Ensembl